Molecule: ribosomal RNA, 468 nt
Filed under: uncultured bacterium
Lineage: Bacteria
Description: partial 16S ribosomal RNA
Rfam family: Bacterial small subunit ribosomal RNA
Source: RNAcentral
GACGAACGCUGGCGGCGUGCUUAACACAUGCAAGUCGAACGGAAGGGCCCUGCUUUUGUGGGGUGCUCGAGUGGCGAACGGGUGAGUAACACGUGAGUAACCUGCCCUUGACUUUGGGAUAACUUCAGGAAACUGGGGCUAAUACCGGAUAGGAGCUCCUGCUGCAUGGUGGGGGUUGGAAAGUUUCGGCGGUUGGGGAUGGACUCGCGGCUUAUCAGCUUGUUGGUGGGGUAGUGGCUUACCAAGGCUUUGACGGGUAGCCGGCCUGAGAGGGGGACCGGCCACAUUGGGACUGAGAUACGGACCAGAAUGCUACGGGAGGCAGCAGUGGGGAAUAUUGCAUAAUGGGCGGAAGCCUGAGGCAGCAACGCCGCGUGCGGGAUGACGGCCUUCGGGUUGUAAACCGCUUUCGCCUGUGACGAAGCGUGAGUGACGGUAAUGGGUAAAGAAGCACCGGCUAACUACGUG